Molecule: ribosomal RNA, 1164 nt
Filed under: gamma proteobacterium MOLA 543
Lineage: Bacteria; Pseudomonadati; Pseudomonadota; Gammaproteobacteria
Description: bacterial SSU rRNA
Rfam family: Bacterial small subunit ribosomal RNA
Source: RNAcentral
GCAGUCGAGCGGAACACAAGGGAGCUUACUCCUGAGGUGUCGAGCGGCGGACGGGUGAGUAAUGCUUGGGAAACUGCCCAGUCGUGGGGGACAACCAUUGGAAACGAUGGCUAAUACCGCAUACGCCCUACGGGGGAAAGAAGGGGACCUUCGGGCCUUUCGCGAUUGGAUGUGCCCAAGUGGGAUUAGCUAGUUGGUGAGGUAAGAGCUCACCAAGGCGACGAUCCCUAGCUGGUUUGAGAGGAUGAUCAGCCACACUGGAACUGAGACACGGUCCAGACUCCUACGGGAGGCAGCAGUGGGGAAUAUUGCACAAUGGAGGAAACUCUGAUGCAGCCAUGCCGCGUGUAUGAAGAAGGCCUUCGGGUUGUAAAGUACUUUCAGCGAGGAGGAAAGGGAGUAGGUUAAUAACCUGCUUCUGUGACGUUACUCGCAGAAGAAGGACCGGCUAACUCCGUGCCAGCAGCCGCGGUAAUACGGAGGGUCCGAGCGUUAAUCGGAAUUACUGGGCGUAAAGCGUACGCAGGCGGUUUGUUAAGCGAGAUGUGAAAGCCCCGGGCUCAACCUGGGAACUGCAUUUCGAACUGACAAACUAGAGUUUUGUAGAGGGUGGUAGAAUUUCAGGUGUAGCGGUGAAAUGCGUAGAGAUCUGAAGGAAUACCAGUGGCGAAGGCGGCCACCUGGACAAUAACUGACGCUCAUGUACGAAAGCGUGGGGAGCAAACGGGAUUAGAUACCCCGGUAGUCCACGCCGUAAACGAUGUCAACUAGCCGACUGGUGCCUUGAGCACUGGGUGGCGCAGCUAACGCAUUAAGUUGACCGCCUGGGGAGUACGGCCGCAAGGUUAAAACUCAAAUGAAUUGACGGGGGCCCGCACAAGCGGUGGAGCAUGUGGUUUAAUUCGAUGCAACGCGAAGAACCUUACCUACUCUUGACAUCCACAGAACUUUUCAAAGAUGAUUUGGUGCCUUCGGGAACUGUGAGACAGGUGCUGCAUGGCUGUCGUCAGCUCGUGUUGUGAAAUGUUGGGUUAAGUCCCGCAUUUUUUCGUAACCCCUAUCCUUAGUUGCCAGCACGUAAUGGUGGGAACUCUAGGGAGACUGCCGGUGAUAAACCGGAGGAAGGUGGGGACGACGUCAAGUCAUCAUGGCCCUUACGAGUAG